RNAcentral lists this ribosomal RNA (460 nucleotides) under uncultured bacterium. RNAcentral's name for it is "partial 16S ribosomal RNA". It matches the Rfam family "Bacterial small subunit ribosomal RNA", at positions 338 to 795 of the family's 1533-position model. The record is from RNAcentral.
CCUACGGGUGGCAGCAGUGAGGAAUAUUGGUCAAUGGACGAGAGUCUGAACCAGCCAAGUAGCGUGAAGGAUGACUGCCCUAUGGGUUGUAAACUUCUUUUAUAUGGGAAUAAAACGUUCCACGUGUGGGAUUUUGUAUGUACCAUAUGAAUAAGGAUCGGCUAACUCCGUGCCAGCAGCCGCGGUAAUACGGAGGAUCCGAGCGUUAUCCGGAUUUAUUGGGUUUAAAGGGAGCGUAGGUGGAUUGUUAAGUAAGUUGUGAAAGUUUGCGGCGCAACCGUAAAAUUGCAGUUGAAACUGGCAGUCUUGAGUACAGGAGAGGUGGGCGGAAUUCGUGGUGUAGCGGUGAAAUGCUUAGAUAUCACGAAGAACUCCGAUUGCGAAGGCAGUUCACUGGACUGCAACUGACACUGAGGCUCGAAAGUGUGGGUAUCAAACAGGAUUAGAUACCCGGGUAGUC